AUUGAACGCUGGCGGCAUGCCGUACACAUGCAAGUCGAACGGCAGCACGGGAGCAAUCCUGGUGGCGAGUGGCGAACGGGUGAGUAAUAUAUCGGAACGUGCCCAGUCGUGGGGGAUAACGUAGCGAAAGCUACGCUAAUACCGCAUACGAUCUAUGGAUGAAAGCGGGGGAUCGCAAGACCUCGCGCGAUUGGAGCGGCCGAUAUCAGAUUCGGUAGUUGGUGGGGGAAAAGUCUACCAAGCCGACGAUCUGUAGCUGGUCUGAGAGGACGACCAGCCCCACUGGGACUGAGACCCGGCCCAGACUCCUACGGGAGGCAGCAGUGGGGAAUUUUGGGCAAUGGGCGCAAGCCUGAUCCAGCAAUGCCGCGUGCAGGAUGAAGGCCUUCGGGUUGUAAACUGCUUUUGUACGGAGCGAAAAGGCUCUCUCUAAUACAGGGGGCUCAUGACGGUACCGUAAGAAUAAGCACCGGCUAACUACGUGCCAGCCGCCGCGGUAA
This 500-nucleotide ribosomal RNA is filed under the name uncultured bacterium. RNAcentral describes it as "partial 16S ribosomal RNA". It matches the Rfam family "Bacterial small subunit ribosomal RNA", at positions 30 to 523 of the family's 1533-position model. The record is from RNAcentral.